CAUUGGGUGACUGAAAGUAAGUAUAGGUCUUUUAAACCUACUAUAGUAUCUUCACGCCUACUUCCAAUGA
Molecule: transfer RNA, 70 nt
Filed under: Metapenaeopsis barbata
Lineage: Eukaryota; Metazoa; Arthropoda; Malacostraca; Decapoda; Penaeidae
Description: tRNA-Lys
Source: RNAcentral